CGAACGCGGGCGGCGUGCCUAACAGAUGCAAGUCUAACGGAUUGAAGGGGCUUGCUCCUUCAGUUAGUGGCGCACGGGUGAGUAACGCGUAGAUAAUCUGCCUGAUGAUCUGGGAUAACACUUCGAAAGGGGUGCUAAUACCGGAUAAUCCCACGGGGUCUUUGGACUCUGCGGGAAAAGGGGGGGACCUUCGGGCCUUCUGUCAUCAGAUGAGUCUGCGUACCAUUAGCUAGUUGGUAGGGUAAUGGCCUACCAAGGCUACGAUGGUUAGCUGGUUUGAGAGAAUGAUCAGCCACACUGGAACUGAGACACGGUCCAGACUCCUACGGGAGGCAGCAGUGGGGAAUUUUGCGCAAUGGGCGAAAGCCUGACGCAGCAACGCCGCGUGAGUGAUGAAGGCUUUCGGGUCGUAAAGCUCUGUCGAGGGGAAAGAAGUGUAUUGUGGCUAAUAUCCACGAUACUUGACGGUACCCCUAAAGGAAGCACCGGCUAACUCCGUGCCAGCAGCCGCGGUAAUACGGGGGGUGCAAGCGUUGUUCGGAUUUAUUGGGCGUAAAGAGCGUGUAGGCGGUUUGUUAAGUCUGAUGUGAAAGCCCUGGGCUCAACCCAGGAAGUGCAUUGGAAACUGGCAGACUUGAAUACGGGAGAGGGCAGUGGAAUUCCUAGUGUAGGAGUGAAAUCCGUAGAUAUUAGGAGGAACACCGGUGGCGAAGGCGGCUGCCUGGACCGAUAUUGACGCUGAGACGCGAAAGCGUGGGUAGCAAACAGGAUUAGAUACCCUGGUAGUCCACGCCGUAAACGAUGAGAACUAGGUGUUGCGGGUAUUGACCCCUGCAGUGCCGCAGCUAACGCAUUAAGUUCUCCGCCUGGGAAGUACGGUC
RNAcentral lists this ribosomal RNA (881 nucleotides) under uncultured bacterium. RNAcentral describes it as "bacterial SSU rRNA". It matches the Rfam family "Bacterial small subunit ribosomal RNA", at positions 30 to 887 of the family's 1533-position model. The record is from RNAcentral.